CAGCAGCCGCGGGAAUACAGAUGGUGCGAGCGUUAAUCGGAUUUACUGGGCGUAAAGCGUGCGUAGGCGGCUUCUUAAGUCGGAUGUGAAAUCCCUGAGCUUAACUUAGGAAUUGCAUUCGAUACUGGGAAGCUAGAGUAUGGGAGAGGAUGGUAGAAUUCCAGGUGUAGCGGUGAAAUGCGUAGAGAUCUGGAGGAAUACCGAUGGCGAAGGCAGCCAUCUGGCCUAAUACUGACGCUGAGGUACGAAAGCAUGGGGAGCAAACAGGAUUAGAUACCCGUGUAGUCCCUGUCUCUUAUAC
RNAcentral lists this ribosomal RNA (301 nucleotides) under uncultured bacterium. RNAcentral's name for it is "partial 16S ribosomal RNA". It matches the Rfam family "Bacterial small subunit ribosomal RNA", at positions 509 to 807 of the family's 1533-position model. The record is from RNAcentral.